AUGAAGAUCAUGUUAUUGUCUUACAUGUUUGUAUCACUGUGGUACACGUUUGGUGGAGGAACCAGACUGGAGUUUGGAAGUGAUGCCCGUCCCACCCUGACGGUGCUGCCCCCCUCCAGUGAGGAGCUGCAGCAGGGGAAGGCCACCCUCAUGUGUCUGGCCAACAAGGGCUUCCCCUCAGACUGGAGUCUGUCCUGGAAGGUGGACGACAGCAGCAGCAGCAGCAGCAGCUGGGAGCAGAGCAGGAGCCCCGGGGUGCUGCAGAAGGAUGGCCUCUACAGCUGGAGCAGCACCCUGAGGCUCCCUGCAGACCAGUGGAGGAAGGUGGGCUCUGUGACCUGUGAGGCCACCCAGGGCUCCCAGACUGCAGUCACACAGACGCUGAGGAAAGACCAGUGUUCCCAGUCCUGACCGCACUCUCUGAGACACUGAUAUUGGCUUUAAUCUGUGACUGCUCUCACUUUUUCUCUCCUGAUUAUUCUCUAGUUUCACUCAAUCAUCUUUGCUUUGUCAUGUUGGUCACUAUUCAGUAAUAAAGAUUUACU
This is a non-coding RNA of Fundulus heteroclitus (mummichog), 545 nucleotides long. The record is from the annotation of a RefSeq genome assembly. Lineage: Eukaryota; Metazoa; Chordata; Actinopteri; Cyprinodontiformes; Fundulidae.